RNAcentral lists this ribosomal RNA (250 nucleotides) under uncultured bacterium. Its description in RNAcentral is "partial 16S ribosomal RNA". It matches the Rfam family "Bacterial small subunit ribosomal RNA", at positions 525 to 775 of the family's 1533-position model. The record is from RNAcentral.
ACGUAGGGAGCAAGCGUUAUCCGGAUUUAUUGGGCGUAAAGGGUGCGUAGGCGGUUUGUUAAGUAUGAGAUUAAAGCCCGAGGCUUAACCUCGGUUCGUUUCAUAAACUGGCAGGCUUGAGUGUGGCAGAGGUAAACGGAAUUUCUAGUGUAGCGGUUAAAUGCGUAGAUAUUAGAAGGAACACCAGUGGCGAAGGCGGUUUACUGGGCCAUAACUGACGCUGAGGCACGAAAGCGUGGGGAGCAAAUAG